CAGACUGACCUCCGCUUCCAGAACCAUGUGGUGCUGGCCCUUCAGGAGGCUGCAGAGGCCUACCUGGUGGGUCUCUUCGAGGACACCAACCUGUGCACCAUCCAUGCUAAGCGCGUGACCAUCAUGCCCAAGGACAUUUAG
RNAcentral lists this ribosomal RNA (141 nucleotides) under Triticum aestivum (bread wheat). RNAcentral describes it as "partial small subunit ribosomal RNA". Lineage: Eukaryota; Viridiplantae; Streptophyta; Magnoliopsida; Poales; Poaceae. The record is from RNAcentral.